UGUAAGCGUAUACCAAAGUUGUUGCAGUUAAAACGCUCGUAGUUGGAAUUUGGCAGUUCCGGAUGUGUGCACGUCGUGUGCGCACUUCGCGGGGAUUGCUUUUGUGGUCUUGCGUAGGAUGAGGCACUUUUAUUAGUGAACGUCCUCACGCAACCACUUUUUACUGUGAGAAAAUCAGAGUGCUCAAAGCAGGCAUUUGCCGUGAAUGUAUUAGCAUGGAAUAAUAGAAUAGGACUUGGUUCUAUUUUGUUGGUUUGUUGGGACUGAGUAAUGAUUAAGAGGGACAGUUGGGGGCAUUUGUAUUUCGGUGCUAGAGGUGAAAUUCUUAGAUUACCGAAAGACAAACUGCUGCGAAAGCGUCUGCCAAGGAUGUUUUCAUUGA
This 382-nucleotide ribosomal RNA is filed under the name uncultured eukaryote. RNAcentral's name for it is "partial 18S ribosomal RNA". It matches the Rfam family "Eukaryotic small subunit ribosomal RNA", at positions 592 to 976 of the family's 1831-position model. The record is from RNAcentral.